This 77-nucleotide small nuclear RNA is filed under the name Gorilla gorilla gorilla (western lowland gorilla). RNAcentral's name for it is "U7 small nuclear RNA". It matches the Rfam family "U7 small nuclear RNA". From Rfam's summary of the family: Animal histone pre-mRNAs are spliced by a different mechanism than nuclear pre-mRNAs and self-splicing introns. This processing involves the U7 snRNP, which contains only one RNA species: U7. The record is from Rfam by way of RNAcentral. Lineage: Eukaryota; Metazoa; Chordata; Mammalia; Primates; Hominidae.
UAGAGUUACAGCUCUUUUAGAAUUUGUCUAUCAGGCCUUCAAGUUUUUUUUUUUUUUUUUUUUGCUGGAAAGCCCCU